Pollicipes pollicipes is the source of this 435-nucleotide long non-coding RNA. RefSeq lists it as uncharacterized. The record is from RefSeq and is a predicted model, not a curated record. NCBI's taxonomy places the organism in Eukaryota, Metazoa, Arthropoda, Thecostraca, Pollicipedomorpha, Pollicipedidae. The transcript has 3 exons.
CGCGACUGCGGCGCCCUCUUCUCGCCGUACCACCAGCCGCAGGCGCCGGCGUUCCGGCCGCCGGCGCCCCACCCCGAGCUGGGCUCGUGUCAGUCGCGGUCGACGGCCGGUCUGUACGCGCCGCAGUUCAUGGACCACCUCGGCUUCCACGACUCGUCCAGCCAGCUCAGCCAGGAUGAGGCCCGCAGACGCCAUCGACAACAGCAGCAGCAACAUCAACAGCAGCGCCAGCAUCAGCAGCAGCAACCGUAUCCGUUUUAAGGACACGCCCGGGCCCGUCCUGUGAAUAUGUCCGCCAAGUGUAUAUAGAUACAUCAUUGGCUUGUAUUAUGGGCCCGAUGACUGAGAGCAAGCUCGGUAGACUGUGCCACCACUGCAGCUGCGUUGCGGCAUCUAUACAACCAUUUCUAUGAGACAAUAUAUGUUAUUUUGUUG